RNAcentral lists this ribosomal RNA (881 nucleotides) under uncultured Gammaproteobacteria bacterium. RNAcentral's name for it is "bacterial SSU rRNA". It matches the Rfam family "Bacterial small subunit ribosomal RNA", at positions 8 to 885 of the family's 1533-position model. The record is from RNAcentral. Lineage: Bacteria; Pseudomonadati; Pseudomonadota; Gammaproteobacteria.
AGGGUUUGAUCAUGGCUCAGAUUGAACGCUGGCGGCAGGCCUAACACAUGCAAGUCGAGCGGUAGAGAGAAGCUUGCUUCUCUUGAGAGCGGCGGACGGGUGAGUAAUGCCUAGGAAUCUGCCUGGUAGUGGGGGAUAACGUUCGGAAACGGACGCUAAUACCGCAUACGUCCUACGGGAGAAAGCAGGGGACCUUCGGGCCUUGCGCUAUCAGAUGAGCCUAGGUCGGAUUAGCUAGUUGGUGAGGUAAUGGCUCACCAAGGCGACGAUCCGUAACUGGUCUGAGAGGAUGAUCAGUCACACUGGAACUGAGACACGGUCCAGACUCCUACGGGAGGCAGCAGUGGGGAAUAUUGGACAAUGGGCGAAAGCCUGAUCCAGCCAUGCCGCGUGUGUGAAGAAGGUCUUCGGAUUGUAAAGCACUUUAAGUUGGGAGGAAGGGUUGUAGAUUAAUACUCUGCAAUUUUGACGUUACCGACAGAAUAAGCACCGGCUAACUCUGUGCCAGCAGCCGCGGUAAUACAGAGGGUGCAAGCGUUAAUCGGAAUUACUGGGCGUAAAGCGCGCGUAGGUGGUUUGUUAAGUUGGAUGUGAAAUCCCCGGGCUCAACCUGGGAACUGCAUUCAAAACUGACUGACUAGAGUAUGGUAGAGGGUGGUGGAAUUUCCUGUGUAGCGGUGAAAUGCGUAGAUAUAGGAAGGAACACCAGUGGCGAAGGCGACCACCUGGACUAAUACUGACACUGAGGUGCGAAAGCGUGGGGAGCAAACAGGAUUAGAUACCCUGGUAGUCCACGCCGUAACGAUGUCAACUAGCCGUUGGAAGCCUUGAGCUUUUAGUGGCGCAGCUAACGCAUUAAGUUGACCGCCUGGGGAGUACGG